This 355-nucleotide ribosomal RNA is filed under the name uncultured bacterium. Its description in RNAcentral is "bacterial SSU rRNA". It matches the Rfam family "Bacterial small subunit ribosomal RNA", at positions 70 to 422 of the family's 1533-position model. The record is from RNAcentral.
CACGAGGUAGCAAUACUUUGGUGGCGACCGGCGCACGGGUGAGUAACGCGUAUGCAACCUACCCUGUACUGGGGGAUAGCCCGGAGAAAUUCGGAUUAAUACCCCAUAAUGAUAUUUAGAGGCAUCUUUGAAUAUUUAAAGUUUCGACGGUACGGGAUGGGCAUGCGUGACAUUAGCUAGUUGGUAGGGUAACGGCCUACCAAGGCUGCGAUGUCUAGGGGUCCUGAGAGGGUGAUCCCCCACACUGGUACUGAGACACGGACCAGACUCCUACGGGAGGCAGCAGUGAGGAAUAUUGGUCAAUGGGCGCAAGCCUGAACCAGCCAUCCCGCGUGAAGGAAGAAGGCGCUAUGCG